GAGGUUCGUUGUUUAACCCAUAUUUCUCUGUUUACAGACAUUUAAAAAAAACUGAAAACAUUUUGUCUUCGCCAUCGCUUUGCAUUGCGAAAUCUGUGCCUUCUUUUCUUAUGAUGAUUUUUUUUUCUUUUCAGGAACCGCAAUAUUUCGUCGUGUUGUAACUUCGUUACUACAGAUAUUUUUUUCAAAAUUAUAGAAAACGCGGCAAUAACACCUGUACCAAAAUGUUAACUUCUGAUUCAGGAGAAACAAUAACUUUAUCCAUUUUUUUUUCAAGUGUGUGUGUCAG
This 289-nucleotide long non-coding RNA is filed under the name Mytilus galloprovincialis (Mediterranean mussel). The record is from RNAcentral. Lineage: Eukaryota; Metazoa; Mollusca; Bivalvia; Mytilida; Mytilidae.